CUUAAAACAGGCAUAUUAAAAAAUGGGAAACAAAAAAGGACACAAUAAAUCAUGUAGGAUUCUAAAGGAUGCAUCGACCAGUAGCGGAUUUUAUUGCUAAGUAUUAGAACUCUUUGUAUUUCUUUUCAUUGAUUUGUACCUUUUGUUUUUGUUUUUGUCUAUGAGCUCUCCAUAUGUUUCUACUUCGUUCCGCGGAAUGCCCGGAUCGACUGUUACUUCUUCCACUCCCGUAAACCAGGUGUCGUUUAUUAUCUUGAUUUACUCGCUAAUAUAUUUUCGUUAAGAUUACUUAUCGAGAGAAAUUGAAAAUGAUAAAAAUCGUUAAAGUCAAAUACGAACAGUUCAUUUUUAACGUCCAAAUUUUGAUUUAACGAGAACUUGAGCAACACUUUAUUUCUUUUCAUCCAUCAAUGUAUUUAAU
Schizosaccharomyces pombe (fission yeast) is the source of this 421-nucleotide non-coding RNA. Lineage: Eukaryota; Fungi; Ascomycota; Schizosaccharomycetes; Schizosaccharomycetales; Schizosaccharomycetaceae. The record is from the annotation of a GenBank genome assembly.